UCAAUCAGAAAACCGUACUCUUUUGUUUUAAAGAUCGGUUUAUUUGAUUGAGCCGUGCCAAUAUCACGCGUUUAAAUAGUUUAAAGAUUCUAUGUUAGUUGAUGUGAUCAAUCAAGGCUCUGAAGUUAGGAUAGUAACAAGAAAAAAGACAGAAAAAAAGAAGAAAAUUCAUAUACAUUCGUGAGAAGAUACUACUAUUAGCGAUAAUGAAUUCAUUACAAAAAACUGUAGCCCAAUGUUAUAAAGGGUAGUUUCUUCUCUCUUUUUUGUAUAGAUGAUUUAUGUCACUCACUCACUCAUUAAUGUAAAGAUGUCUGACUGAAUUGUUUAUAAUAUUGCGUAUAUUCUGAACUUUUAAUUAAUUUGUUUAUAUUUUUAUUCUAUCACGAAA
This 391-nucleotide non-coding RNA is filed under the name Arabidopsis thaliana (thale cress). Lineage: Eukaryota; Viridiplantae; Streptophyta; Magnoliopsida; Brassicales; Brassicaceae. The record is from RNAcentral.